CCUACGGGGGGUAGCAGUGGGGAAUAUUGGACAAUGGGGGCAACCCUGAUCCAGCCAUGCCGCGUGUGUGAAGAAGGCCCUCGGGUUGUAAAGCACUUUCAGUGAGGAAGAACGCCUGGUGGUUAAUACCCAUCAGGAAAGACAUCACUCACAGAAGAAGCACCGGCUAACUCCGUGCCAGCAGCCGCGGUAAUACGGAGGGUGCGAGCGUUAAUCGGAAUUACUGGGCGUAAAGCGCGCGUAGGUGGCUUGAUAAGCCGGUUGUGAAAGCCCCGGGCUCAACCUGGGAACGGCAUCCGGAACUGUCAAGCUAGAGUGCAGGAGAGGAAGGUAGAAUUCCCGGUGUAGCGGUGAAAUGCGUAGAGAUCGGGAGGAAUACCAGUGGCGAAGGCGGCCUUCUGGACUGACACUGACACUGAGGUGCGAAAGCGUGGGUAGCAAACAGGAUUAGAUACCCUGGUAGUC
Molecule: ribosomal RNA, 465 nt
Filed under: Vreelandella stevensii
Lineage: Bacteria; Pseudomonadati; Pseudomonadota; Gammaproteobacteria; Oceanospirillales; Halomonadaceae
Description: partial 16S ribosomal RNA
Rfam family: Bacterial small subunit ribosomal RNA
Source: RNAcentral